Molecule: ribosomal RNA, 611 nt
Filed under: Pseudarthrobacter sulfonivorans
Lineage: Bacteria; Bacillati; Actinomycetota; Actinomycetes; Micrococcales; Micrococcaceae
Description: bacterial SSU rRNA
Rfam family: Bacterial small subunit ribosomal RNA
Source: RNAcentral
GAUCUCCAGCUUGCNNGGGGGAUUAGUGGCGAACGGGUGAGUAACACGUGAGUAACCUGCCCUUGACUCUGGGAUAAGCCUGGGAAACUGGGUCUAAUACCGGAUAUGACUCCUCAUCGCAUGGUGGGGGGUGGAAAGCUUUUGUGGUUUUGGAUGGACUCGCGGCCUAUCAGCUUGUUGGUGAGGUAAUGGCUCACCAAGGCGACGACGGGUAGCCGGCCUGAGAGGGUGACCGGCCACACUGGGACUGAGACACGGCCCAGACUCCUACGGGAGGCAGCAGUGGGGAAUAUUGCACAAUGGGCGCAAGCCUGAUGCAGCGACGCCGCGUGAGGGAUGACGGCCUUCGGGUUGUAAACCUCUUUCAGUAGGGAAGAAGCGUAAGUGACGGUACCUGCAGAAGAAGCGCCGGCUAACUACGUGCCAGCAGCCGCGGUAAUACGUAGGGCGCAAGCGUUAUCCGGAAUUAUUGGGCGUAAAGAGCUCGUAGGCGGUUUGUCGCGUCUGCCGUGAAAGUCCGGGGCUCAACUCCGGAUCUGCGGUGGGUACGGGCAGGCUAGAGUGAUGUAGGGGAGACUGGAAUUCCUGGUGUANNGGUGAAAUGCGUAGAA